GAAGGACUUCCGGUGGCUUCCAAGGCGACUCCGUAGUGGAUGCAGCGCCGGACGCCACAGCCGAAAAACAGAAUCUUGGAACUGGUUUAGUACAAUCCAGGUCGAGUUCCUUGUUUUUUAUCCGAGUGGCCGGCAGGCCCAUGUGCUGUCUUGUUUUUAACACAUCAGCUCUUGCCGGAAGCCGCUAAGAGAUAAAAUAGGAAGUCCCACCCUUCCCUUAGAGAAGGAAAACGGAGAGCCGAAGGAGUCAAUCUAAAUUCGAUGAGCGCGUCGGGCUCCAAGGCAGGCGCUGUCAGCCCGGGAGGGCUGUCUGGGAUUUCUAGAGGGUCCCAGAACGGGUUCUUCCCAGGCCGAUCCCGCCUGCUUCCUGCCCCGUCUCUCCACCCGCCUCCCGCCCUCUGUAAGGGACCCCGAGGGCGGCGCCGGAAACACGGAGAAGGCCCAGAACGGCGCGGGACCCGAGAGGCCUACGUUGGCAAACGCAGCCCGCUGCCCCUUUGCUCGCUUCCCCCGGGCCUGGAGUGGCUCCUGUCGCUUCUGGCGCUCCGAUUUCGAGAAAUGACUUUCAGCUGUGCAAGGCGAGAAUGCUACUUUAGAUGAUGAGAAAAAAUCUCUCGAAUGGCUCCCAAAAUGAGGUCCUUGUUUAAGAGGCCACAGGAAGCCGCUAGCCGAACUCUGAUACCAAAGAGGAGGCCAAGAAGCGGACUGUGGCUUGGUGACCUGUUUGGUAUUGCCAAAUUUUCAGCUUUUAUUAAAGCUGAAACACCUUGGCUGUUUAAAACGUUCGACAAGGACUUUUUUAUGAACGUUAACGGCACAGCAUACGGGUUUUUUGGAAAAAAAAAAAGGCAGGACUUCAGCCCGUCCGCCCCCUUGUGCAGGUCCAUUCAUGAACCUCGAGUUAGAGGCCUUUCUUCUGAAACUCAGAAUCUAGUAGGGAAGACCUGUGUAGACGAAUAAAAAUAAAUACAUCACAGCUUGUUAAGUGCUGUGACAAAGAGGCAGUGAAAUCCUGCUUGAGGUCAUCUGCCUUGCUAAAGAGGUUUGACUAUGUUGUAGGCACAGGGUUAGGGUUAGACUCUGUAAUGGGAAGUUAUGUGAUCAGAUUUCUGUUUAGGAAGAUCACUGGCCAGGCGGGGUGGCUUACGCCUGUAAUCCCAAUACUUUGGGAGGCCGAGUCGGUGGAUUGCUUGAGGCUAGGAUUUUGAGACCAGCCUGGGGAAACCGCGUCUCUACUAAAAAUUUGAAAUUAGCCAGGCAUGGUGGUGCGAGCCUGUAAUUCCAGCUACUUGGAGGCUGAGGCGGGAGAAUAGCUUGAACCCAGUGGCGGAGGCUGCAGUGAGCCGAGAUUGCGCCACUGCACUCCAGCCUGGGCGACAGAGCGAGAUUCCGUCUCAAAAAAAUCAUUGUAAGUAAUUGGAUUUUUGUGUGUGUGUGAUGUUCUGAAGAUAGGCUUUCUAGGCCAAAUCGUCACUCAAGGCCAAUUCGAACACAAUUCAGUUUAAAUCAGAAUACAUUCGAGUGAUAAUUCCUUACCUUUUUAAAUAGUUCAUAGAAAACUUUUUGUAGACAUUAUCUGGUUUAAUUCUGAUUGUAAUCCACAUGAAUUCUCUUAUCCACAGUAAGGAACAGUAAUUUAGAAGACUAAUAAACUGUUCCAAGAUCACACAGCUAGUAAAAGUGGAACUCAACCUAAAACUCCAGAGUCAAGCUUUUCCAUCAUGUAGACUCAGUUUAAUAGUAAUAGUUAAUUAAAAAUUCUAGAGAAAAAUGUGGGAAACAAUUUCCUCACAAGUGACCAGCUGCAAAUGUUAUUUGUAUUCCAUUAACCAACAUUUAUUGGGUGCCUGUUAUAUAAAAGAUAAAACUGGGUUCUGCCUUCAAAGAGUUCACUUGAAAUUUAAAAUUUAUGUGAAAAUUUAGCACUUCCUACAGUGUUUUAAUAGCUAUUUCAACAGUGUUGGUGUUGUAUGACAAGGUGAUAAAUUUCUUGACAAUAACAAUAGCACAAUUCUGUAUAUGGAUUGGGCAUUCUGUGAUCUUUGGGUGAUUUAUCUUGCUACCUUUCUUACCUUGGGGGUUUAGUUAACACUUAUGUUCCUCCCCUGAGCAGUGAAGUAAAAUCUAAGUUUAUGUUUCAGUUCUAUUUUGAGUAUUUUGAGUUACUAAGACAGGACCUUAAGGAAGUCAGUUUGACCUCAUUUCCAACUGAGAGAGUCCAUAGAUGUCAUUCAAGACUAAUUUUCUGAUUCUAAGGAAAAAGGGAAGUCUUUUUUUUUCUUCCUCUCUUUAUUUUUGAAUGAAUAAUGCUUGACAUGGACAACACAGACUUUUAGUGAAGACAGAGAGUCCUAGUGAUGAAACCACCUUUGCAAAAAUUACAACUGAGAAAAUUAUGACAGUGAAAGAGAUCUGACCUAACCAAUUCCAUCUUGCUUCUAAACUCUGUCCUUGUUCAUUCCUGGGCAUAGGCAGAACUAACUCUGGAAGGAACUUAGUUUAUAGUGUAACUUUGAAACAAAGAUGAUAACAGCUCAUUCUGAAAACAAACCCCUUUCUGGCCUGGGGACCAGACUGCCUUUUUAGGGCUAGCAAAUUAGCCACAAGAUUAGAAAUUACAGUUUAGGAAUAAUGCAGCUAGAGGCCACAAGAUUCUAAACCUCCCCAAUUGUUCCUAAGGAUAAUAUCACUAUUGUAAAACCCAAGAUUGGUGCUUAAGAUGUUUUUCAGACCCCGCACUCAUGGAUCAGCUGGCAUCACUCAGAUGGAUAAACUGGCUCAUCUAGUCCUGUAGCCCCCACCCAAGAACUGACUCAGUGCAAGAGGACAGUUUCAACUCCCUAUGAUUUCAUGUCACACCAGAGCCAUCAAUUCUCCCCGCUCCCUGGUCUCCUACUCCCCCAAAUUAUCCUUUAAAAAUCCCAGUCUCUGAAUUUUCAGGAGACUGCUUUAAGUAAUAAUAAAACUCUGGUCUCCUGUUUAGCCAGCUCUGUGUGAAUUAAACUCUUUAUUGCAAUUCCUUUGUCUUGAUGAAUCCACUGUCUGGGCAGCGGGCAAGAUGAACCCGUUGGGUGGUUACAAUGACACCAGGAACCCCUGGGAUCAAGACUUGCUCGAAGCCAGCCACACUUGAGACCUGUUAACCAAAAAAAAAAAAAAAAAUCCUUUUCUUAUUUAAGUCCAGUUUUCUUUUACUUGCAUCAUGAAGCAACCUAAAUGAUAACAGAAGUUUUAUUGCCAAAUAUACCAGUUACAGUCUUAAGAAAGUCGCAAAGGAAAAACUCAGAGCAAAGAUUUUCAGUCUUCAUAAGUUCAAAAUGUAUACUUUUAUCAUGUCUGAGAAAAGAAAGCAAUCAAUAUAUUCACAUCUUUUUCUGGGUAUAUGUGAUAUUUUUCCAUUGGAUAAUGAAUAGUAAACACUUUUACAAUAGCAAGUUGACAAAAUGAGAAUGUAUAAAAGAAAUUAAAAUAUAUCAACUAUUAAAUAAAUGCCAGGCAUUAUGCAACAAACCUUAUAUGCAUUAUUUCAAAUAAUUAUUAUAACUACUCUGAAUAGACACAUUAUUUCCAUUUUACAGAUGAGAAAAAUGAGGUUCAAAGAAGUGAUGUCAUGUUCUCUGAUUCUGUCUAUAUUGGAUACCUGGUGACGAUCUCCCCCUGUCUAAUACCCUAAACAUACGUUCACCUGCAUGCUGCUUCUGUUCUGGACCUUUGCGCUGGAUGUAGUCCCAACAGAGUGGCUUGCUGGGAGGAGGGAGAUACUUUUCAGAUAAGGCACUAGCACUUCAUCCUAACAACUUCUCCAUACUGAGGCAACAUUUUUAAAUACACAGAGAAUGCCUAGGAUUCAAUUGUUGAGAAAAAUUGAUGUAAGUCUGUUUGUCUCAAAGAAAGCUAUCAGGAACUACAGUUUUAUUAACCUAAAUGAACACCUGGUUUGAUGAUGACUAUGUAAAUGUAUUUUUAGCUAAUUAAUUUAUUAUUUCUGCCCAUCAGCCAACGAGUGGAUAAAGAAAAUGUGAUAUAUAUGCACUAUGGAAUACUAAGCCAUAAGAAGGAAUGAAAUAAUGGCAUUUGCAGCAACCUAGAUGGAGUUGGAGACCAUUAUUCUAAGUGAAGUAACUCAAGAAUGGAAAACCAAAUAUUGUAUGUUCUCACUCGUAAGUGGGAGCUAAGCUGCGAAGAUGCAAAGGCAUAAGAAUGAUAUAGUGGACUUUGAGGACUCAAGGGUUGAAGGAUGAGACUACACAUUGGGUACAGUGUGCACUGCUUGGGUGAUGAGUGCACCAAAAUCUCAGAACUCACCACUGAAGAACUUCCCCAUGUAACCAAAAACCACCUGUUCCACAGAAACUAUCGAAAUAACAUUUUUAAAACUUUACUAUUUCUGAAUAAAAUUUACAUACAUUUCUCAGAAAAAAAAAUAUUUGGAAUUGAGGUAUCUAAUAGAGAACUGAGUUAAAUUAUUGCCACUUAAAAACACAAAGUGAUAUAGCCACUUUAUGAAUUAAUCAGUCAGCAGUGGCUAGGUUAUGCUUAGUGGUUUAUAACCAAAUCUUAGUUUAUAACAACAAAUGUGUAUUGUUAAUUCCCACUACAAGUUUAUAACGACAUUGCUGGAUGCUACACUCCAUGUCUCUUUGUGGGACCCAGGCUCAUGGGACUUCUGUUACCUGCAUUAGAGAGAGAGAAGACAACAAAAUAUGCACUGGUUCUUGAAGCUUUGGCCCAGAAGUAAAAUAUGUCUUUUACCUGUUCACAUUGCAUUGGGCCAGGGCAAUUAUCAUGGCUGCAAGUAACUUCAAAAGGAUGGGGAAGUGCGAUCUUGGCAUGUGUCAGAAGAAAUGAAAACAUUUGGUGAAGAGCAUUAAUGACUGUCUUUACAGGAAAAAAGCAAUCAAAUAGACAUGAUUGCUUGUUUCAGUUUCAUCAUUUCCUACUGUGUUACCUAAACUUUCUGAGCCCCAGUUUCUUAUUACUAAAAUAAAAUAAAGAUGAUAUUCACUUCAAGGACUUUGUGUUAACUAGGGUAAAAAAAUUGAAAACUAGUAAGUUAUGCAAAUUAGAAAUGUAUAAUAUUACUGCUUUGAAAGUGAUGGUGAAAUGUAGAAUAAUUGGAAGGAUAACACAAAGCACUUAUACCAGGAGGCUUUUAGCUGCAGAUAAUAGAAAUGAACCUCCACUACUUUAAUCAAUAAAAAAGUGUAUCAGCUCACAAAUUUGUCAUCCAGACAUAAAGGAGGCUUCAGAAUUUAUUGACUCAGGAGUUGAAUGUUGGUAUCAAGGACCUAGAUUUUUCUCAUCACUCUGCACUUCAAUUCUCAAUGCCCUAUUGAACAUCAGGCUGUAGUAAGAUGGCUAGAGUGAUUCCAGGGAUAACAUCUAGAGAUAAAAAAGAGAACUCCUUUUCUUAUGAUUUUUUUCUUAAGAGAAAAGGAAUUUCCCAAAAGCCCCCAGCAAGCAUGCCUUCACAUCCCAUGGCCAGAAGUGGCUCACAUGUGUACCCUGAGCUAAGCACUGCAGACAGGAAUGGAAUCGCCUGUAGGCCUCAGAGACCACCUGGAUCUUGGGAAGGUGUCAGCUCUACCUGUGGCACUUGGCUGAGUGGGAAAGGGAUGGAAACAUGAAUAAAGUAAGAAUUAGGAAGGAAAAGGAGAAAUGGAUCCAGGGUAUGAAGCCAAUAGUUUAGUUAUCUCAACAAAUAUGAUUGAUUUCAUCUUUAUGAAUGUGAUGACCUAAUUUAAUACAUUCAAUCAAUGAAGUAAAAAAAAGUGCAAGGACAAUAUGACAUCUGUCAUUCUCUGUUGAGAUUUGAGAGGUAAUAAUACCAAGAACGUGUGGUGACCUGGGUCCUCACUGCUACUGUCUUCCUGUACCUGGACACUUCUAGCAAGAGACUUCAACUUCAGAACAAAGAGGAUCCCAACUUGUAGCUGCAUUAUACACACCCCAGCAGCACACAUAAGUUGAUUUCUAAUUAUUCCUCUUUAAGAAAUUGUUUGUGGAAUAUUUAUCUAUUUAUAAAUGGAAAAAUAGAAAAUUAAAAUAACAAAAAUAAGUAACACCAUGUAUUGAGUGUCUACUGCGUGCUAGGCACUGUGCUAAGUGUUCUGCAUAUAUUGUCAUUGUGCUGCCAACGACUCUGCAAUAAAGAUGUUCCCAUUCCUACUUUACAGCUAAGGAAACCAAGGAUCUGAGAAAUAACGUAUUUUGCCCAAGAUUAUCCAACUGGUAAAAUCUGGAGUCCAAAUUUGAACCAGAGUCCAUUCAACACACUUUCACCUCUACACCAGUGCUUUCUGAGUUUGCUGAACAUUAGAAUCACCUCAGGAACUUAAAAAAAAUUCCCAGGUGAUACCCCAUAGCAAGUAAAUUAGAAAAUCGGGCAGGGGAAGAGGAACCCUGGCAUCAGUACUUUUUAAAGUCCCCAGGUACUUACAAUGUGGAGGAAAGUUUGGGAACCACUGUGCUAUAUUAUGUUGCCUCUUCAGCCAAGAAUGUAAACCAGAAUCUUUUCUUCCAAGGCCAAGAGCAGUGAAUGAUAGCUUAUGGUAUAUACUCUCAUUCCCAAGUGAUCCUCUUCCUCAGGAGUUCUGCUUUAGGCUAACUAAUUUCAAGUUUCCCUUUCACUACAUUUCUCACCCAUCUGAAGCUAAAAAUGUUACAGGAGACAUGCUGAAUUUGUUGCUUUUUCUCUGUUAUCUCUCCUUUUCAGAGCCGCCUCCCCUUACUUUACUUCACCUGCUAAAGUAUCCCUGAACUCUGCCUUCUGGGGUUGAAAGUGGGAUUUUAAAUAAACUAUAGAUGGCUUCCUUUAUUUGGUUAUAAUUAUUUAAAAUUUGAAGGAAGCAUUGGUCAUUUUUGGUGACUAGUCAUUUUUGAUGACUAAGUGUCAUUUAAAGUUUCAUUUCCUUUAAAUUAACAUUUUUUGUCAUUCCAUUCAAAUGCCUACUUACAAUGGCAAUAAGAAUAUGCUAUGAACACUUAACCACCCACACUAGAAUUUUAAAUCUAAGUUCUUCUCGAAUGCUGUUUUGGUGAAUUUCAGUGUGGGAGGUGAGAUGAUUUAAAGCUUCAGAUUUUCUGUUAUAGUCAAAGGCAUAAUUUAUCUGACAUCUUUUUUCAUUCUGCCUAAGGAAUUACACUAGAAUAAUGUUUUUAAAUAAAAUUUGUCCACAUAAUGACAUUUUUUUCAAUUCUAUCCAAACUAAAAUAGCUCCAAAGCGUUUACUUAUCAUAACUGUUAAGAAAUUAUACUUGCCAGGCAUGGUAGCUCAAGCCUGUAAUUCCAGCACUUUGGGAGGCUGAGAUGGGUGACCUCCACUUGAGGUCAGGAG
Molecule: long non-coding RNA, 7337 nt
Filed under: Homo sapiens (human)
Lineage: Eukaryota; Metazoa; Chordata; Mammalia; Primates; Hominidae
Description: non-protein coding LINC00909:13
Source: RNAcentral